RNAcentral lists this non-coding RNA (21 nucleotides) under Caenorhabditis elegans. Lineage: Eukaryota; Metazoa; Nematoda; Chromadorea; Rhabditida; Rhabditidae. The record is from RNAcentral.
UGGGCGGACAUAACUUUUUUG